Long non-coding RNA from Saccostrea cuccullata (small rock oyster), 530 nucleotides. RefSeq lists it as uncharacterized. The record is from RefSeq and is a predicted model, not a curated record. The transcript is spliced from 4 exons. NCBI's taxonomy places the organism in Eukaryota, Metazoa, Mollusca, Bivalvia, Ostreida, Ostreidae.
AGUACCAGAGUAACCCUAAAUCAUCCUGAUUUGUCAGAAGACUACAUAGAACAGUCUAGAGGUGGAAACUGAUAGAUCAUUUGAAGAGGAUCCUGUUAAAGCAGUCAUAAAUAUGUUUCACAAAACAAUGAACACCUUGUUACAGCAUAUCUUGAACAGCCUAGAAAAGAGAACAGUCUGGAGGUGGAAACGGGUGGAUCACUUUUAGAAGAAACUGUUAAAGCACAGAGACAUGUACCAAGGAACAACAAGACAUGAUUGUUGCAGCAUAUCUUGAACAACCUGGCAUAAGUGUUUACUAACAACACCACCUCAACAGAACUUCAAGAUAAAGAAAUUUUAUGUGAUGAGAACCUCAAUAAAGAAGAUAGAAAAAGAUCAAUGGUUUUAGUUUUCAAUGUAGAAGCUGAUGUCACAAAUGUCUUUUCUUAGUCAGGGAGUCCAGAAACAAGUUUUGAUUCUUUAAAAUUGAAAGUGACUUUUUGUAUAAUCAUUCAUUUCUUGUAUCUGGAUUAAUUGACUAAGUAAGA